This 729-nucleotide ribosomal RNA is filed under the name Dyella sp. R53. Its description in RNAcentral is "bacterial SSU rRNA". It matches the Rfam family "Bacterial small subunit ribosomal RNA", at positions 59 to 777 of the family's 1533-position model. The record is from RNAcentral. Lineage: Bacteria; Pseudomonadati; Pseudomonadota; Gammaproteobacteria; Lysobacterales; Rhodanobacteraceae.
AAGUCGAACGGCAGCACAGUAGAGCUUGCUCUAUGGGUGGCGAGUGGCGGACGGGUGAGUAAUGCAUCGGGAUCUACCCAAACGUGGGGGAUAACGUAGGGAAACUUACGCUAAUACCGCAUACGUCCUACGGGAGAAAGCGGGGGACCGAAAGGCCUCGCGCGGUUGGACGAACCGAUGUGCGAUUAGCUAGUUGGUAGGGUAAUGGCCUACCAAGGCGACGAUCGCUAGCUGGUCUGAGAGGAUGAUCAGCCACACUGGAACUGAGACACGGUCCAGACUCCUACGGGAGGCAGCAGUGGGGAAUAUUGGACAAUGGGCGCAAGCCUGAUCCAGCAAUGCCGCGUGUGUGAAGAAGGCCUUCGGGUUGUAAAGCACUUUUAUCAGGAGCGAAAUACCAUUGGCUAAUAACCGAUGGGGCUGACGGUACCUGAGGAAUAAGCACCGGCUAACUUCGUGCCAGCAGCCGCGGUAAUACGAAGGGUGCAAGCGUUAAUCGGAAUUACUGGGCGUAAAGCGUGCGUAGGCGGUUAUUUAAGUCUGUUGUGAAAUCCCCGGGCUCAACCUGGGAAUGGCAAUGGAUACUGGAUAGCUAGAGUGUGAUAGAGGAUGGUGGAAUUCCCGGUGUAGCGGUGAAAUGCGUAGAGAUCGGGAGGAACAUCAGUGGCGAAGGCGGCCAUCUGGAUCAACACUGACGCUGAGGCACGAAAGCGUGGGGAGCAAACAGGA